Molecule: unclassified non-coding RNA, 312 nt
Filed under: Chroogomphus rutilus
Lineage: Eukaryota; Fungi; Basidiomycota; Agaricomycetes; Boletales; Gomphidiaceae
Description: sequence contains 18S rRNA gene, ITS1 and 5.8S rRNA gene
Rfam family: 5.8S ribosomal RNA (bases 243-312)
Source: RNAcentral
CAUUAAUGAAUAUAAUUCGGUCGACAGGAAGGAGGGAGCUGUCGCUGGCCUGCGUGGCAUGUGCAUGCUCUCUUUGGAUCGUCGAUUGUCUUUCAUAUCUUCACCAGUGCACCUAAUGUAGGAUGCCUCUCCUCCGGGAGGGGGGACCUAUGUCUUUUUUAGACACCUGCAGUUUAGAAAGUCUCUGAAUGUUUACUAUCGUCGAGCCCACCGACGUGGGUCGGCGAGAUAAAAGUUAAUACAACUUUCAGCAAUGGAUCUCUUGGCUCUCGCAUCGAUGAAGAACGCAGCGAAUUGCGAUAUGUAAUGUGA